This 481-nucleotide ribosomal RNA is filed under the name uncultured bacterium. RNAcentral's name for it is "partial 16S ribosomal RNA". It matches the Rfam family "Bacterial small subunit ribosomal RNA", at positions 30 to 506 of the family's 1533-position model. The record is from RNAcentral.
AUUGAACGCUGGCGGCAUGCUUUACACAUGCAAGUCGAACGGUAACAGGCCGCCAGGUGCUGCCGAGUGGCGAACGGGUGAGUAAUGCAUCGGAACGUGCCCAGUCUUGGGGGAUAACUACUCGGAAGAGUAGCUAAUACCGCAUACGAUCUAUGGAUGAGAGCGGGGGACCGUAAGGCCUCGCGCGAUUGGAGCGGCCGAUGUCAGAGUAGGUAGUUGGUGGGGUAAAGGCUCACCAAGCCAACGAUCUGUAGCUGGUCUGAGAGGACGACCAGCCACACUGGGACUGAGCCACGGCCCAGACUCCUACGGGAGGCAGCAGUGGGGAAUUUUGGACAAGGGGCGCAAGCCUGAUCCAGCAAUGCCGCGUGCAGGAAGAAGGCCUUCGGGUUGUAAACUGCUUUUGUACGGAACGAAACGGCUCUGGUUAAUACCCGGGGCUAAUGACGGUACCGUAAGAAUAAGCACCGGCUAACUACGU